Corvus hawaiiensis (hawaiian crow) is the source of this 459-nucleotide long non-coding RNA. RefSeq lists it as uncharacterized. NCBI's taxonomy places the organism in Eukaryota, Metazoa, Chordata, Aves, Passeriformes, Corvidae. The record is from RefSeq and is a predicted model, not a curated record. The transcript has 3 exons.
UGUCUGUUGGUUUUUGGCGUCAGUUUUGAAGCCCUGAAUCGCUCCCUGGGGAUGUGCACUAGAAAACUGAUGGGAACCGGUUUCCUAUCAGCAGCUGAGACGCAAUUCCUGGCUCCACUUUUCCAGGGAAUCACAGUCUGCAGACCUGGACAGCAUCAUGUGCACAGUGUCACAGCUGGAAUUAACCAUGAGGUAUUUAACACUGAAGUGGAAGGGAGGGAUGGAACACCAGGGAGAGGAGCUGCUUGAAACCUGACUCAACCUUCCCCAGCUCUCAGACCUUUCUUGUGCAAUCGAUGUCCCAUCGUUGACAACGUCUGGGAGAAAUGCAGAGAUUUCCUGAGAGCGCUGCCGUGGAAAUUCCUGAGAUUUCUGGUGUGGAUGGACACGAAGGGAAGGAGGAGGCAGCCAUUUAGGAAGUGCAUUUUCCACAGAAAUAAAUCCUUUCUGCUCACCCUC